UUUUUUUUUUUUUGGCUCGCCGCAGGUCUGGUCUCGCCAGUCAGCGACUAGCGCUCGCCUGGCCACUGCCUCGCCCUAGCUGCUUCACCGGAGUGCGCCAGGGGAGGCGCGACGUGCGACCAAAAAUUUAGGUGCUCUCUCUCUCUCUCUCGAAAAGUUUUAAGGCCUUAUCCUCUAAAAAAUUCCUUAUCCUUUAUAGAAAUACUAUAAAAGAUUUAAUCAUCUAUAUCUUCUCCAUCUUAAACAACGUCCCCUAAAUUUAAUCAUAUAUAUCUCCGAAAUUAACCUAGAAUAUUUAUUCUCUCUUUUCAUAUAAUAUGGUCCUCUAUUUUUUAUCUUGUACAGUAUGGCCACGGUAUAUUACAUUAAAAUUUGGAAACAUAUUUUAUUUGCAGGCUAAAAUAUGCGGCUAGUCAAUUUCCCAGCUAGAUCUCGUCCUCUGCACGUGUGUGUUCGGCGUGGG
Molecule: long non-coding RNA, 463 nt
Filed under: Zea mays
Lineage: Eukaryota; Viridiplantae; Streptophyta; Magnoliopsida; Poales; Poaceae
Description: long non-coding RNA (ZMAY_LNC002588)
Source: RNAcentral